CUCGACCAAGCACAAAUUACAAUCAUACCAUCCAAUUCUCCUCCAUAGGAUCUUCUCCUGUCCCUUCAACAAAAUCUCAUCUAUCUAUUCCUUCUCCAUAUCAUCAAUCCAAGAGGAGAAGGGAUGUGCCAAUCUUCUUCGACCUAGCAUCCCUUUUUGUAUUAAUUUUUCUCCCUAAUCUUAGACUUCCAUCUCUUUGAUUCUUCUGUCUCUCCUGUAACCAAUGAGACUUUAUCCUUUCAUAUUAAUCAUGGCCA
This 257-nucleotide long non-coding RNA is filed under the name Elaeis guineensis (African oil palm). Its description in RNAcentral is "long non-coding RNA (EGUI_LNC008978)". Lineage: Eukaryota; Viridiplantae; Streptophyta; Magnoliopsida; Arecales; Arecaceae. The record is from RNAcentral.